Molecule: ribosomal RNA, 460 nt
Filed under: uncultured bacterium
Lineage: Bacteria
Description: partial 16S ribosomal RNA
Rfam family: Bacterial small subunit ribosomal RNA
Source: RNAcentral
CCUACGGGAGGCAGCAGUGAGGAAUAUUGGUCAAUGGCCGGAAGGCUGAACCAGCCAUGCCGCGUGAAGGUCAGUGCCCUAUGGGCGUUAAACUUCUUUUGUGCGGGAGCAAUAAUGGUCACGUGUGGCCAGACGAGAGUACCGUACGAAUAAGCAUCGGCUAACUCCGUGCCAGCAGCCGCGGUAAUACGGGGGAUGCAAGCGUUAUCCGGAUUUAUUGGGUUUAAAGGGGGCGUAGGCUGUGAGGUAAGUCAGCGGUGAAAUGCCCCCGCUCAACGGGGUGAAGUGCCAUUGAUACUGCCUGGCUGGAAUGCGGAUGCCGUGGGAGGAAUGUGUGGUGUAGCGGUGAAAUGCAUAGAUAUCACACAGAACACCGAUUGCGAAGGCAUCUCACGAAUCCGCGAUUGACGCUGAUGCACGAAAGCGUGGGUAUCAAACAGGAUUAGAUACCCUGGUAGUC